RNAcentral lists this ribosomal RNA (483 nucleotides) under Enterococcus sp. Its description in RNAcentral is "bacterial SSU rRNA". It matches the Rfam family "Bacterial small subunit ribosomal RNA", at positions 57 to 513 of the family's 1533-position model. Lineage: Bacteria; Bacillati; Bacillota; Bacilli; Lactobacillales; Enterococcaceae. The record is from RNAcentral.
GCAGUCGCAUGCUUUUUCUUUCACCGGAGCUUGCUCCACCGAAGGAAAAGGAGUGGCGAAUGGGUGAGUAACACGUGGGUAACCUGCCCAUCAGAAGGGGAUAACACUUGGAAACAGGUGCUAAUACCGUAUAACAAUAGAAACCGCAUGGUUUCUAUUUGAAAGGCGCUUUUGCGUCGCUGAUGGAUGGACCCCCGCUGCAUUAGCUAUUUGGUGAGGUAACGGCUCACCAAGGCAACGAUGCACAGCCCACCUGAGAGGGUGAUCGGCCACAUUGGGACUGAGACACGGCCCAAACUCCUACGGGAGGCAGCAGUAGGGAAUCUUCGGCAAUGGACGAAAGUCUGACCGAGCAACGCCCCGCGAGUGAAGAAGGUUUUCGGAUCGUAAAACUCUGUUGUUAGAGAAGAACAAGGAUGAGAGUAAAAUGUUCAUCCCUUGACGGUAUCUAACCCGAAAGCCACGGCUAACUACCUGCCAGCA